UACGGAGGGGGCUAGCGUUGUUCGGAAUCACUGAGCGUAAAGCGCACGUAGGCGGAUGUGCCAGUCAGGGGUGAAAUCCCAGAGCUCAACUCUGGAACUGACUCUGAUACAGCACGUCUUGAGUUCGAGAGAGGUGGGUGGAAUUCCUAGUGUAGGGGUGAAAUUCGUAGAUAUUAGGAAGAACACCGGUGGCGAAGGCGGCCCACUGGCUCGAUACUGACGCUGAGGUGCGAAAGCGUGGGGAGCAAACAGG
Molecule: unclassified non-coding RNA, 253 nt
Filed under: uncultured Alphaproteobacteria bacterium
Lineage: Bacteria; Pseudomonadati; Pseudomonadota; Alphaproteobacteria
Description: contains 16S-23S intergenic spacer region
Rfam family: Bacterial small subunit ribosomal RNA
Source: RNAcentral